CGGGGGACCCCGUGAAGGUGUUUUAUUUCCUACUGAGGGCUGUGGUGUGUUGGGCCACGGUCGUAGCGGAUCGGGAAUGUGGCUCUGGCCUUUGCUGGAGGAGGGUAAGACUUAGAAGGAGCAUCAGCUUGUCCAGUAAGUGAGCAGUGAGGUGACAAAAUGGAUUCAGACAAACCAGAGGAUCAGAAAAAGCAGCAAAAAGAAAAGAAAGCAGGAUGAAGUUGUUUCCCAGAAGGAAAAAGCUUCCCCACUGUGAACCUCUCUGUACUGAUAAAAUUCCAUUUGCACUAGGGGGGUCGUUCUGCUCUUACUGUUCCAAGGAAAUCCCAUUUCUAAUGCAAGAUGGAUGACUUUGCUAUACUGAGACACUGCAAAAUCAAAGCAACUGCUUCUGCAUCCAAGUACAAAAUCUAAGACAGAGAACUCUCUGUGUGUGGAAUAAGUGAAACAAUUGUGGAGGAAAGGUCGCUGACAACUGCAUGGGAAUUGCUUCCUGAAAAAAGUUGCCUUCUAAAGAGUUAAGAUUUUAGGAGUCGGCUUUACGUAUGCAUAUAUGUAUUUAAAUAACAUUUGAAGAUGCCAUGCGUUGGAUAAGAACUGUGUAACUGAUAGCGUUAACUGCACUCAAGGGGCAUGUGAACCAGUGGGGAAGCUUGCAUAGAAAGGUGUGAUGCUGCUCUCCACUGUGGACCCGAGUGCAAUGGAUUAUGGCAGUGUAACAAAUAACCAUAGGUGAGAAAGACUUUCUAGAUAACUAACUAAAAGUUCCUUUUAUUUUACUUUCUUCUCUUAUCUUCUUUUUUGUUCUUCAGUUUUUUUCUAUUUCAAACCUUCUUGUUGCUCUGCAAGUACUUUAUAAUAAAAGUUGCUAGAAAAAUAAUCUUUUCCCUGUUUCUUUCCCUGCCUUUUCUUUUGCUCUUCUCCUUUGUCUACUUCAGUCACCUUCAUCGCUGUUCAUGCCUCUCUGUUCAUUUUCAGUCUCCUUUUCUACUACUUUCUCCUUAAGCUCUU
Struthio camelus australis is the source of this 1011-nucleotide long non-coding RNA. RefSeq lists it as uncharacterized. The record is from RefSeq and is a predicted model, not a curated record. NCBI's taxonomy places the organism in Eukaryota, Metazoa, Chordata, Aves, Struthioniformes, Struthionidae.